Ovis aries (sheep) is the source of this 71-nucleotide transfer RNA. It matches the Rfam family "tRNA". Rfam says of the family: Transfer RNA (tRNA) molecules are approximately 80 nucleotides in length. Their secondary structure includes four short double-helical elements and three loops (D, anti-codon, and T loops). The record is from Rfam. NCBI's taxonomy places the organism in Eukaryota, Metazoa, Chordata, Mammalia, Artiodactyla, Bovidae.
UCCCUGGUGGUCCAGUGGUUAGGACAUUGCCUUCCAAUGCAGGGAUGUGGGUUCGAUCCCUGGUUAGGGAG